UUCAACAUACUUUACAACUUAACUUCACAUUUUAUCCCAAGCAGAACUUGGCAUUAUCCUUUUCCUGUAUCUGGCCGUAUUCGUCUUAUCUGCAAUGUUUUAUCAUGAUAUAGCAAUGGUGAGCAUGAAAGUUGCCCAACAAGUUUAAAAAAAACAAGGUAAAGAUAUAUCAUGAUUGAAAGAGUUUGAAUAAUAAGCUGGCUAUCNNNN
RNAcentral lists this long non-coding RNA (210 nucleotides) under Panax ginseng (ginseng). RNAcentral's name for it is "long non-coding RNA (PGIN_LNC014399)". Lineage: Eukaryota; Viridiplantae; Streptophyta; Magnoliopsida; Apiales; Araliaceae. The record is from RNAcentral.